This 878-nucleotide long non-coding RNA is filed under the name Durio zibethinus. RNAcentral's name for it is "long non-coding RNA (DZIB_LNC002061)". The record is from RNAcentral. Lineage: Eukaryota; Viridiplantae; Streptophyta; Magnoliopsida; Malvales; Malvaceae.
CCUAAAGUUAACCAUGUUAACUAGUUUUAAUAAUCAAAACUUCUCCAACAAAACCUUGUUAUUGUUGAAAAAAAAAUGAAUACAAUACCAUAUACAUAUACAAGUCGAAGUGCAAAGAACAAGAAAAACGAAGGAGAUACAAACCAAAUUCUUUUAGAAGAACAUAAGGCCAACAAACCCAACAUGUGAGUGGCACAGAGGGAUUAAGGCUUUAUUUUGAUAAAAUGGGGAUUAAUUCUAAAUCCUCCUUCAUGUGAAAACUCUCCUAUUUCCGUCCAAUUAGUUAGCUUAGCAGGGGUUACAUCCUUUCCAUUAUUCUUCACUUAAUUUGAGGGGGAAAAAAGAACACAUAAAAGACAUGAAGUUGCCUUUAGUAUCCCCUUUGGCAUGCAUAUGUGGGAUCGAUUUUAUCAAGUUCUAGGGUUUUUCAUAUCAUUUCAUCAUUAUCUUCAUGUUUUUAAAAUUCUAUCUUUUUUUUUCUAAAUCCAUAUACUACCCCUUUUUCAAUAGAUGAUUUUCUUUUCAGAUACACCCAAAAAGCAAAAAAAAAAAAAAAAGUUAAAGAUUGUUCAUAUAUAAAAAUUGUUACAUAUCUUGGCGUUGACGUUGUGAAUCAUUUUGCCUGCAAAGUUUUUUUGUGUGCUCCUUCAAUACGUAGAGAGAGGGAAUUAGGGUUUCUUUAGCCCUACAUAUGAGUCGUGACUUCGUAAAACUAUUCUACAUAUGAUUUUUUUUAAUAAAAAGGAGGUCGAAAUCCAUGGAUAUAAGAGAAGAAGAAUUAUGAAAGUUGGAAUUGAACUUCAAUCUUAUAAGUAGGUGAAUCAUUUAGAUUAAACUCCAAAUUUGUUUUUAUUGAAUGAAUGUAUAGUACUUCUUCU